Molecule: ribosomal RNA, 402 nt
Filed under: uncultured bacterium
Lineage: Bacteria
Description: bacterial SSU rRNA
Rfam family: Bacterial small subunit ribosomal RNA
Source: RNAcentral
CGGGGAAUAUUGCGCAAUGGGCGAAAGCCUGACGCAGCAACGCCGCGUGAGGGAUGAAGGCUCUCGGGUUGUAAACCUCUUUCAGCAGGGACGAAAUCAGACGGUACCUGCAGAAGAAGCCCCGGCCAACUACGUGCCAGCAGCCGCGGUAACACGUAGGGGGCGAGCGUUGUCCGGAUUUAUUGGGCGUAAAGAGCUCGUAGGCGGUUCGAUAAGUCGGGUGUGAAAACUCUGGGCUCAACUCAGAGACGCCACCCGAUACUGUUGUGACUUGAGUCCGGUAGGGGAGUAUGGAAUUCCCGGUGUAGCGGUGAAAUGCGCAGAUAUCGGGAGGAACACCAGUGGCGAAGGCGGUACUCUGGGCCGGAACUGACGCUGAGGAGCGAAAGCGUGGGUAGCGAA